RNAcentral lists this ribosomal RNA (253 nucleotides) under uncultured bacterium. RNAcentral's name for it is "partial 16S ribosomal RNA". It matches the Rfam family "Bacterial small subunit ribosomal RNA", at positions 524 to 776 of the family's 1533-position model. The record is from RNAcentral.
UACGUAGGGUGCGAGCGUUAAUCGGAAUUACUGGGCGUAAAGCGUGCGCAGGCGGCUUUGCAAGACAGAUGUGAAAUCCCCGGGCUCAACCUGGGAACUGCAUUUGUGACUGCAAGGCUAGAGUACGGCAGAGGGGGAUGGAAUUCCGCGUGUAGCAGUGAAAUGCGUAGAUAUGCGGAGGAACACCAAUGGCAAAGGCAAUCCCCUGGGCCUGUACUGACGCUCAUGCACGAAAGCGUGGGGAGCAAACAGG